CCUAUGUUUGGAAAACCCAUAUAAUAUAUAUUAUAUAUUUUUUUAAAGCAAAUAAAUUUCCCAUUUAUAUCAAUGCUCUUAAAAUAUGAGGGAAUUCUGAUUUUAAAGUUUCCAUUGUCGUCCCAUUGGGACUAUAUAUUAUACAAGUUGACAUGUGAACACAAUCAUUCCAUGCAUCAUUACUUAUGUGGCGUUUUUCCUCAUUUGUAUAAAAUGUUUAACUUUACACUAAAGGACAAUAUAUUGGAAUAUUUAUAAUAUUUAACAUUGUCGACGAGAAGCAAAAGAAAAAAAAUCCUGCAUUUUAAUUUUUCAAGUGCAAUCAUAAAAAUAUGAUCAGUUUGUACCCAUAUAUAGUA
This is a non-coding RNA of Cinara cedri, 359 nucleotides long. NCBI's taxonomy places the organism in Eukaryota, Metazoa, Arthropoda, Insecta, Hemiptera, Aphididae. The record is from the annotation of a GenBank genome assembly.